GCUCCAUUCGUCUAGGGGCCUAGGACGUGGCCCUCUCAAGGCCAAAACACGGGUUCGAAUCCCGUAUGGAGCA
This 73-nucleotide transfer RNA is filed under the name Anaerolinea sp. RNAcentral's name for it is "tRNA-Glu". It matches the Rfam family "tRNA". From Rfam's summary of the family: Transfer RNA (tRNA) molecules are approximately 80 nucleotides in length. Their secondary structure includes four short double-helical elements and three loops (D, anti-codon, and T loops). The record is from RNAcentral. Lineage: Bacteria; Bacillati; Chloroflexota; Anaerolineae; Anaerolineales; Anaerolineaceae. RNAcentral also lists the same sequence under 1 other name.